Molecule: small nuclear RNA, 104 nt
Organism: Lontra canadensis (Northern American river otter)
Lineage: Eukaryota; Metazoa; Chordata; Mammalia; Carnivora; Mustelidae
Source: RefSeq, a predicted model, not a curated record
CUUGUUUUGGCCACACGUGUACUUAAAAAACUGGAACGGUGCAGAGAUUAGUGUGUCCCCUGCGCAAGGAUGACAUACGCAUUUGUGAAGCGUUCCAUAAAAAA